AUCGCUUCUCGGCCUUUUGGCUAAGAUCAAGUGUAGUAUCUGUUCUUAUCAGUGCUAUAGAUGGGGCACUGAUGUAGGAUGGAUGCUGCAUGGAGGGGGCAGGUGUAACGGGGGCUGGUUCUGAGGAAUCAGCUCGACGGCUGUCCCGAUGUGACCUGUUUCCUUCUGGGUCUCGCCAUGAGGCUUA
This is a small nuclear RNA of Hyla sarda, 187 nucleotides long. RefSeq annotates it as U2 spliceosomal RNA. Lineage: Eukaryota; Metazoa; Chordata; Amphibia; Anura; Hylidae. The record is from RefSeq and is a predicted model, not a curated record. The transcript has a single exon.